Molecule: ribosomal RNA, 277 nt
Filed under: uncultured bacterium
Lineage: Bacteria
Description: partial 16S ribosomal RNA
Rfam family: Bacterial small subunit ribosomal RNA
Source: RNAcentral
GACGAACGCUUGCGGCGUGCCUGAGAAAUGCAAGUCGAGCGAGAGAGCAAUCUCUAGCGGCGAACGGUUGAGUAACACGUAAGCGACCUGCCCCGUACCGGGGGAUAGCCGGACGAAAGUGCGAGUAAUACCGCAUAGGCUCAAUAGCUCGCAUGAGGUAUUGAGUAAACUUACGGGGGUACGGGAGGGGCUUGCGGCCUAUCACCUAGUUGGUGAGGUAACGGCUCACCAAGGGGACGACGGGUAGCGGGUCUGAGAGGAUGGACCGCCAGACUGG